This 73-nucleotide transfer RNA is filed under the name Ovis aries (sheep). It matches the Rfam family "tRNA". Rfam says of the family: Transfer RNA (tRNA) molecules are approximately 80 nucleotides in length. The record is from Rfam by way of RNAcentral. Lineage: Eukaryota; Metazoa; Chordata; Mammalia; Artiodactyla; Bovidae.
UCUCUGAUGGUCCAGUGGCUAAGACUCUGUGCUCCCAAUGCAGGGGGCCUGGGUUCAAUCCUUGGUCAGGGAA